GAUGAACGCUGGCGGCGUGCCUAAUACAUGCAAGUCGAGCGAACAGACCAUGCGCUUGCUCCUCUGACGUUAGCGGCGGACGGGUGAGUAACACGUGUAUAACCUACCUAUAAGUCUGGGAUAACUUCGGGAAACCGGAUCUAAUACCGGAUAAUAUAUUGAACCGUAUGGUUCAAUAGUGAAAUACGGUUUUUCUGUCACUUAUAGAUGGUUCCGCGCCGCAUUAGCUAGUUGGUAAGGUAACGGCUUACCAAGGCGACGAUGCGUAGCCGACCUGAGAGGGUGAUCGGCCACACUGGAACUGAGACACGGUCCAGACUCCUACGGGAGGCAGCAGUAGGGAAUCUUCCGCAAUGGGCGAAAGCCUGACGGAGCAACGCCGCGUGAGUGAUGAAGGUCUUCGGAUCGUAAAACUCUGUUAUUAGGGAAGAACAAAUGUGUAAGUAACUAUGCACGUCUUGACGGUACCUAAUCAGAAAGCCACGGCUAACUACGUG
This 497-nucleotide ribosomal RNA is filed under the name uncultured bacterium. Its description in RNAcentral is "partial 16S ribosomal RNA". It matches the Rfam family "Bacterial small subunit ribosomal RNA", at positions 28 to 507 of the family's 1533-position model. The record is from RNAcentral.